This 118-nucleotide small nuclear RNA is filed under the name Pogona vitticeps (central bearded dragon). RNAcentral describes it as "U1 spliceosomal RNA (ENSPVIG00000013086.1)". It matches the Rfam family "U1 spliceosomal RNA". From Rfam's summary of the family: U1 is a small nuclear RNA (snRNA) component of the spliceosome (involved in pre-mRNA splicing). The record is from RNAcentral. Lineage: Eukaryota; Metazoa; Chordata; Lepidosauria; Squamata; Agamidae.
UAUCGUACCUGGCAGAGGAGAUACCUUGAUCAUGAAGGACAUUUUUCCUGGGUGAGGCUCAUCCAUUGCACUCGAGGUGUGCUGAUCCCUGCAGGAAAGUUGACUUUAUAAUUUUCUC